GAGAAUUUAAGGCUAUGUCAUAAUAAAAAUUCAACUCAAUUUCCAUAUGCAGGAGACUUACGGUGUUAAAACAAUACCGAUCUUGUGAAUUUUUCUCAAGUCUCCGCAAACUCGACCUCAAAUUAUUCUAUAGCCUAAAACUUUCAACAAAAACGCAUUUUUUUUAGAAAGAAAAUAAAAACAAAACAAAACAAAGAAC
RNAcentral lists this long non-coding RNA (199 nucleotides) under Lathyrus oleraceus (garden pea). RNAcentral describes it as "Pisum sativum (pea) long non-coding RNA (PSAT_LNC028330)". The record is from RNAcentral. Lineage: Eukaryota; Viridiplantae; Streptophyta; Magnoliopsida; Fabales; Fabaceae.